GAAGAAUCAGGUUGUGGGGGGAGCUAUUAACAGUUUAGCCGAUACGCUUUCCUGAAGAAGUGAGUUUUCAAUUAUUUUUUUGAAGGAGUGGAGACUGGGUGAACGUCUAACUGAGGAUUCCUGAUUCAUUUUCAAAUUGUUCAGGACUUCUCUCCCAUGCAGUCAGCCCCCACACAGCGAUGGUAGGAGAAUUUAGUCAAUUUUGGC
This is a non-coding RNA of Pelobates cultripes (western spadefoot toad), 207 nucleotides long. The record is from the annotation of a GenBank genome assembly. NCBI's taxonomy places the organism in Eukaryota, Metazoa, Chordata, Amphibia, Anura, Pelobatidae.